Molecule: ribosomal RNA, 530 nt
Filed under: uncultured bacterium
Lineage: Bacteria
Description: bacterial SSU rRNA
Rfam family: Bacterial small subunit ribosomal RNA
Source: RNAcentral
AUUGAACGCUGGCGGCAUGCCUUACACAUGCAAGUCGAACGGUAACAGGUCUUCGGACGCUGACGAGUGGCGAACGGGUGAGUAAUACAUCGGAACGUGCCCAGUCGUGGGGGAUAACUACUCGAAAGAGUAGCUAAUACCGCAUACGAUCUGAGGAUGAAAGUGGGGGAUCUUCGGACCUCACGCUAUCAGAUGAGCCUAGGUCGGAUUAGCUAGUUGGUGGGGUAAAGGCCUACCAAGGCGACGAUCCGUAACUGGUCUGAGAGGGUGAUCAGUCACACUGGAACUGAGACACGGUCCAGACUCCUACGGGAGGCAGCAGUGGGGAAUAUUGGACAAUGGGCGAAAGCCUGAUCCAGCCAUGCCGCGUGCGUGAAGAAGGUCUUCGGAUUGUAAAGCACUUUAAGUUGGGAGGAAGGGCAGUAAGUUAAUACCUUGCUGUUUUGACGUUUACCAACGAUAAGUACGACCGGACCGUAACUUAACUUUAGUCCGACGACCGCCCGCCGACGUAACGUAACCUACCGUAG